AGGACGAACGCUGGCGGUGUGCUUCACACAUGCAAGUCGAACGGGGUAGCAAUACCCAGUGGCGGACGGGUGAGUAACGCGUGGGAAUCUGCCUAAAAAUGGGGGAUAGCUGGCCGAAAGGCUAAUUAAUACCGCAUAGGCCUAUAAUUCGACAGUUUUAUAGGUUAAAGGAGUAAUCCGUUUUUAGAUGAGCCCGCGUCCGAUUAGCUAGUUGGUAGGGUAACAGCCUACCAAGGCGACGACGGGUAGCCGGCCUGAGACGGGGCGUACCGGGCCAACGACCGUCGGGAACUUGGAGACACGGCCCAGACUCCUACGGGAGGCAGCAGUGGGGAAUAUGGACAAUGGGCGCAAGCCUGAUCCAGCCAUGCCGCGUGGAUGAUGAAGGCCUUAGGGUUGUAAAGUCCUUUUAACGGGGAAGAUAAUGACGGUACCCGUAGAAUAAGCCCCGGCUAACUUCGUGCCAGCAGCCGC
Molecule: ribosomal RNA, 474 nt
Filed under: uncultured bacterium
Lineage: Bacteria
Description: SSU rRNA
Rfam family: Bacterial small subunit ribosomal RNA
Source: RNAcentral